RNAcentral lists this unclassified non-coding RNA (229 nucleotides) under Hevea brasiliensis (rubber tree). Lineage: Eukaryota; Viridiplantae; Streptophyta; Magnoliopsida; Malpighiales; Euphorbiaceae. The record is from RNAcentral.
AGGUAUGAAAAACAAGCCAGGUAUUAAUAAUGUGCAAGGCAACAUUCCUAAAACUGCAAGCAGCCUCCAAUUUACAAAAAGUCCUAAUACGUAAGCUAGCAUGAUUCCAAGAGUAACCGAAAGCUGGUUAACAGAUCCAAGGCCUCCUCUCAAGUUCUGGGGCGAUAUCUCGGCUAUAUAUACUGGCACAGUGUAUGAGAUUAUACCAACACCAAACCCUUCCAACAAC